Molecule: ribosomal RNA, 2920 nt
Filed under: Staphylococcus aureus
Lineage: Bacteria; Bacillati; Bacillota; Bacilli; Caryophanales; Staphylococcaceae
Description: bacterial LSU rRNA
Rfam family: Bacterial large subunit ribosomal RNA
Source: RNAcentral
UUAAGUUAUUAAGGGCGCACGGUGGAUGCCUUGGCACUAGAAGCCGAUGAAGGACGUUACUAACGACGAUAUGCUUUGGGGAGCUGUAAGUAAGCUUUGAUCCAGAGAUUUCCGAAUGGGGAAACCCAGCAUGAGUUAUGUCAUGUUAUCGAUAUGUGAAUACAUAGCAUAUCAGAAGGCACACCCGGAGAACUGAAACAUCUUAGUACCCGGAGGAAGAGAAAGAAAAUUCGAUUCCCUUAGUAGCGGCGAGCGAAACGGGAAGAGCCCAAACCAAAAAGCUUGCUUGUUGGGGUUGUAGGACACUCUAUACGGAGUUACAAAGGACGACAUUAGACGAAUCAUCUGGAAAGAUGAAUCAAAGAAGGUAAUAAUCCUGUAGUCGAAAAUGUUGUCUCUCUUGAGUGGAUCCUGAGUACGACGGAGCACGUGAAAUUCCGUCGGAAUCUGGGAGGACCAUCUCCUAAGGCUAAAUACUCUCUAGUGACCGAUAGUGAACCAGUACCGUGAGGGAAAGGUGAAAAGCACCCCGGAAGGGGAGUGAAAUAGAACCUGAAACCGUGUGCUUACAAGUAGUCAGAGCCCGUUAAUGGGUGAUGGCGUGCCUUUUGUAGAAUGAACCGGCGAGUUACGAUUUGAUGCAAGGUUAAGCAGUAAAUGUGGAGCCGUAGCGAAAGCGAGUCUGAAUAGGGCGUUUAGUAUUUGGUCGUAGACCCGAAACCAGGUGAUCUACCCUUGGUCAGGUUGAAGUUCAGGUAACACUGAAUGGAGGACCGAACCGACUUACGUUGAAAAGUGAGCGGAUGAACUGAGGGUAGCGGAGAAAUUCCAAUCGAACCUGGAGAUAGCUGGUUCUCUCCGAAAUAGCUUUAGGGCUAGCCUCAAGUGAUGAUUAUUGGAGGUAGAGCACUGUUUGGACGAGGGGCCCCUCUCGGGUUACCGAAUUCAGACAAACUCCGAAUGCCAAUUAAUUUAACUUGGGAGUCAGAACAUGGGUGAUAAGGUCCGUGUUCGAAAGGGAAACAGCCCAGACCACCAGCUAAGGUCCCAAAAUAUAUGUUAAGUGGAAAAGGAUGUGGCGUUGCCCAGACAACUAGGAUGUUGGCUUAGAAGCAGCCAUCAUUUAAAGAGUGCGUAAUAGCUCACUAGUCGAGUGACACUGCGCCGAAAAUGUACCGGGGCUAAACAUAUUACCGAAGCUGUGGAUUGUCCUUUGGACAAUGGUAGGAGAGCGUUCUAAGGGCGUUGAAGCAUGAUCGUAAGGACAUGUGGAGCGCUUAGAAGUGAGAAUGCCGGUGUGAGUAGCGAAAGACGGGUGAGAAUCCCGUCCACCGAUUGACUAAGGUUUCCAGAGGAAGGCUCGUCCGCUCUGGGUUAGUCGGGUCCUAAGCUGAGGCCGACAGGCGUAGGCGAUGGAUAACAGGUUGAUAUUCCUGUACCACCUAUAAUCGUUUUAAUCGAUGGGGGACGCAGUAGGAUAGGCGAAGCGUGCGAUUGGAUUGCACGUCUAAGCAGUAAGGCUGAGUAUUAGGCAAAUCCGGUACUCGUUAAGGCUGAGCUGUGAUGGGGAGAAGACAUUGAGUCUUCGAGUCGUUGAUUUCACACUGCCGAGAAAAGCCUCUAGAUAGAAAAUAGGUGCCCGUACCGCAAACCGACACAGGUAGUCAAGAUGAGAAUUCUAAGGUGAGCGAGCGAACUCUCGUUAAGGAACUCGGCAAAAUGACCCCGUAACUUCGGGAGAAGGGGUGCUCUUUAGGGUUAACGCCCAGAAGAGCCGCAGUGAAUAGGCCCAAGCGACUGUUUAUCAAAAACACAGGUCUCUGCUAAACCGUAAGGUGAUGUAUAGGGGCUGACGCCUGCCCGGUGCUGGAAGGUUAAGAGGAGUGGUUAGCUUCUGCGAAGCUACGAAUCGAAGCCCCAGUAAACGGCGGCCGUAACUAUAACGGUCCUAAGGUAGCGAAAUUCCUUGUCGGGUAAGUUCCGACCCGCACGAAAGGCGUAACGAUUUGGGCACUGUCUCAACGAGAGACUCGGUGAAAUCAUAGUACCUGUGAAGAUGCAGGUUACCCGCGACAGGACGGAAAGACCCCGUGGAGCUUUACUGUAGCCUGAUAUUGAAAUUCGGCACAGCUUGUACAGGAUAGGUAGGAGCCUUUGAAACGUGAGCGCUAGCUUACGUGGAGGCGCUGGUGGGAUACUACCCUAGCUGUGUUGGCUUUCUAACCCGCACCACUUAUCGUGGUGGGAGACAGUGUCAGGCGGGCAGUUUGACUGGGGCGGUCGCCUCCUAAAAGGUAACGGAGGCGCUCAAAGGUUCCCUCAGAAUGGUUGGAAAUCAUUCAUAGAGUGUAAAGGCAUAAGGGAGCUUGACUGCGAGACCUACAAGUCGAGCAGGGUCGAAAGACGGACUUAGUGAUCCGGUGGUUCCGCAUGGAAGGGCCAUCGCUCAACGGAUAAAAGCUACCCCGGGGAUAACAGGCUUAUCUCCCCCAAGAGUUCACAUCGACGGGGAGGUUUGGCACCUCGAUGUCGGCUCAUCGCAUCCUGGGGCUGUAGUCGGUCCCAAGGGUUGGGCUGUUCGCCCAUUAAAGCGGUACGCGAGCUGGGUUCAGAACGUCGUGAGACAGUUCGGUCCCUAUCCGUCGUGGGCGUAGGAAAUUUGAGAGGAGCUGUCCUUAGUACGAGAGGACCGGGAUGGACAUACCUCUGGUGUACCAGUUGUCGUGCCAACGGCAUAGCUGGGUAGCUAUGUGUGGACGGGAUAAGUGCUGAAAGCAUCUAAGCAUGAAGCCCCCCUCAAGAUGAGAUUUCCCAACUUCGGUUAUAAGAUCCCUCAAAGAUGAUGAGGUUAAUAGGUUCGAGGUGGAAGCAUGGUGACAUGUGGAGCUGACGAAUACUAAUCGAUCGAAGACUUAAUCAA